GCAAAGGUAGCUUAAUGGUAGAGUUUAAUUUUGCCAAAAUUAAAGAUAUGAGUUCAAUACUCAUCCUUUGCU
RNAcentral lists this transfer RNA (72 nucleotides) under Candidatus Vidania fulgoroideorum. RNAcentral describes it as "tRNA-Gly". It matches the Rfam family "tRNA". Rfam says of the family: Transfer RNA (tRNA) molecules are approximately 80 nucleotides in length. Their secondary structure includes four short double-helical elements and three loops (D, anti-codon, and T loops). Lineage: Bacteria; Pseudomonadati; Pseudomonadota; Betaproteobacteria. The record is from RNAcentral.